This 449-nucleotide ribosomal RNA is filed under the name uncultured bacterium. RNAcentral's name for it is "partial 16S ribosomal RNA". It matches the Rfam family "Bacterial small subunit ribosomal RNA", at positions 29 to 523 of the family's 1533-position model. The record is from RNAcentral.
AGCGAACGCUGGCGGCAGGCCUAACACAUGCAAGUCGAACGAAGUCUUCGGGCUUAGUGGCGGACGGGUGAGUAACGCGCGGGAACGUACCUUUUGGUUCGGAAUAACUGAGGGAAACUUCAGCUAAUACCGGAUAAGCCCUUCGGAGGAAAGAUUUAUCGCCAUUAGAGCGGCCCGCGUUGGAUUAGGUAGUUGGUGUGGUAAAGGCGCACCAAGUCUACGAUCCAUAGCUGGUCUGAGAGGAUGAUCAGCCACACUGAGACUGAGACACGGCCCAGACUCCUACGGGAGGCAGCAGUGGGGAAUCUUGCGCAAUGGUCGAAAGACUGACGCAGCCAUGCCGCGUGAAUGAUGAAGGUCUUAGGAUUGUAAAAUUCUUUUAGCAGGGACGAUAAUGACGGUACCUGCAGAAAAAGCCCCGGCUAACUUCGUGCCAGCCGCCGCAGUAA